UGGGGAAUCUUGCACAAUGGGGGCAACCCUGAUGCAGCGACGCCGCGUGAGCGAUGAAGGUUUUCGAAUCGUAAAGCUCUGUCCUAUGGGAAGAUAAUGACGGUACCAUAGGAGGAAGCCCCGGCUAACUACGUGCCAGCAGCCGCGGUAAUACGUAGGGGGCGAGCGUUGUCCGGAAUUACUGGGCGUAAAGGGUUCGCAGGCGGCAUGGCAAGUCCGAUGUAAAAGGCGAAGGCUCAACCUUCGUAAGCAUCGGAAACUGUCAAGCUUAAGUGAAGGAGAGGCAAGUGGAAUUCCUAGUGUAGCGGUGGAAUGCGUAGAUAUUAGGAGGAAUACCGGUGGCGAAGGCGACUUGCUGGACUUCAACUGACGCUGAGGAACGAAAGCGUGGGUAGCAAACAGG
RNAcentral lists this ribosomal RNA (403 nucleotides) under Verrucomicrobiota bacterium. RNAcentral describes it as "Verrucomicrobia bacterium partial 16S ribosomal RNA". It matches the Rfam family "Bacterial small subunit ribosomal RNA", at positions 355 to 776 of the family's 1533-position model. Lineage: Bacteria; Pseudomonadati; Verrucomicrobiota. The record is from RNAcentral.